RNAcentral lists this long non-coding RNA (488 nucleotides) under Hordeum vulgare. RNAcentral's name for it is "long non-coding RNA (HVUL_LNC018472)". Lineage: Eukaryota; Viridiplantae; Streptophyta; Magnoliopsida; Poales; Poaceae. The record is from RNAcentral.
UCAGGCAGGGGGAAAGUAACAAUAAAUAGAAGCUUGUCGAUCGGGCGUCUGAGGCGACACCUCGGAAAGAUAAGUAGUACAAGCCAUAGUCGGGCGUCUGGGCGACACCGCAUAAAGGGGCUUGUGAAAAUAAAUAUUAUUAUACGUGCCAUAGUCGGGCGUCUAAGAGACACCACAUACAGGGCUUAUAUGAAGGUAAAACAAAUUUCCAUAGUCGGGUGUCUGAGUGGCACCACAUAGAGGGCAUAAUAAAAAUAAAUACUUGCCACAGUCGGGCGUCUCAGCGACACCACAUACAAGGCUUAAUAAAAAUAAUACUCACCACAGUCGGGCGUCUUAGCGGCACCAUAGAAAGGGCUUAUAUGAAAUAUUUAUAAUAGCGAUGAACAUCCAUGAGAUAGAACCGUCCUAGGGAUAUUCAACAAUCAUAAUCAAAAGGGUUAGUCCACAGUCAAAUAAUAUUUAUGAUCAUCCACCAUAUACAAAGA